Molecule: ribosomal RNA, 81 nt
Filed under: Candidatus Scybalocola fimicaballi
Lineage: Bacteria; Pseudomonadati; Bacteroidota; Bacteroidia; Bacteroidales; Paludibacteraceae
Source: RNAcentral
CCUCUUCCCAUUCCGAACAGAGAAGUUAAGCUCGCUAUCGCCGAUGGUACUGAAUUUCGGGAGAGUAGGUAGCCGCCGCUU